AUUCCGGUUGAUCCUGCCGGAGGCUAUUGCUAUCGGUGUCCGAUUUAGCCAUGCGAGUUGUACGUUUAACGUAGCAGACUGCUCAGUAACACGUGGCCGAUCUACCCUAUGGACUGGGAUAACCACGGGAAACUGUGGCUAAUCCCUGAUAGCGCUCCCGAGCUUGAAUGCUGGGAGCGUUAAACGCUCCGGCGCCAUAGGAUGAGGCUGCGGCUGAUUAGGUAGACGGUGAGGUAACGGCUCACCGUGCCAAUAAUCGGUACGGGUCAUGAGAGUGAGAACCCGGAGACGGAAUCUGAGACAAGAUUCCGGGCCCUACGGGGCGCAGCAGGCGCGAAACCUUUACACUGCACGCCAGUGCGAUAGGGGGACACCGAGUGCGGAGGCAUAGAGCCUUCGCUUUUGUGUACCGUAAGGUGGUACACGAAUAAGGGCUGGGCAAGACCGGUGCCAGCCGCCGCGGUAACACCGGCAGCCCGAGUGAUGGCCGAUAUUAUUGGGCCUAAAGCGUCCGUAGCUGGCCGAGCAAGUUCGUCGGGAAAUCCACGCGCCCAACGUGUGGGCGUCCGGCGAAAACUGUUCGGCUUGGGACCGGAAGACCC
RNAcentral lists this ribosomal RNA (602 nucleotides) under Halobacteriales archaeon QH_7_65_31. RNAcentral's name for it is "bacterial SSU rRNA". It matches the Rfam family "Archaeal small subunit ribosomal RNA", at positions 1 to 609 of the family's 1478-position model. The record is from RNAcentral. Lineage: Archaea; Methanobacteriati; Methanobacteriota; Halobacteria; Halobacteriales.